AUGGAGGUUGUGGAUUUGGUGUCAUCCGACUCCGAGGACGAGGCGUGCGCGCACUCGCCUGAUCGGAAGCGUCCUGCCUGGGAGCCCGCGGAUCCAUCCCGCGGCCCCGGGAGUCUUCCCGAGCAGACAAGCAGAAUGGCCUGGCCGCCGCAGCAGCCAAGUCAGGCGGUGAAGAAGGACAAGGAGAAGGCAGGCGAGGGGGAGAGCGCGUGGGCAGCAGGACCCCCUUCGCUCAGGGGAGGAUCGCAUGGUUCUGGUGCUGGUAUCUUGGGAGCUAGGUCUGUGGGGUGGGAUUCAUGGAGUGCAGCGGCACACAAAUCUAGAGAUGGAAGAAGUGAAACGGCCGAGUGUUGUUGGGGACCUUGGGGUGAUGAGAUUUGCAGAUCAGUCUCUGUGCCCAAGGAAGAUGGUGCUGCGAUGCCUGGACAGAGCUCUAUGGCCAUUCCUGAGCUACUCAUGGAAGACAGUAGCGCAUGGCUGUCGAGGAUCAAGGGGCUCCAUUUCCCACUUCCUGAUGAGAGCCAGUUGAAGGCCAGGCAAAUUCAGUCAGAUGAGAUGCUUGCUCUUAAGCUUCAAGAGCAGUUCAACCAGGAACAGCCAGGCUCGCAAUCUUCCCAGCAGGUUGAUACGACUCUAGCUUGGACACUGCAAGAGGAAGAUGCUGCGCGUGCAAGAAUUGCUGCAAGAGAGGGCCAAUCUAGUUCUAGCCAGAGGGACCGCUCAAUGGCACACUUGUAUUCAUACGGCUGGCGCUCGCAAGUUCAAGGUUCUACUUCAUGGCCACCUAGUCACACAUCAGCUCCAAUAACAAGCAGACGGUGGUUGCCAAGAAACAGCGGCCCAGGAUCAGAGCAACAAAAUAUGAUUAUCUCUCAACUGACCAAAGGGUGUUUUGGACAAGAAAACAUGGAUUUAGAAAUGAGAAUGGCUGUGCUGGACUCACUCCAAGAAGCACUUGAAAGCUGUCCAGACACCUAUCCUACAGAUUCAGAUGAUGAUGACUAUGAGAACCUGAUAGCGCUUGAUGACAACAACCAUCACAGAGGAGCUUCUGACAGUGAAAUUGACAGCUUGCCACUAUCUGUUGCUGAGGGAGAAAGCCGCCGGGACGAGCCCUGCCCUAUAUGCCUGGACUGCCCUGCUGAUGGUGCUUCCCUCCGGCAUCUGCCCUGUGCACACAAAUUCCAUAAAGAGUGCAUCAACAGGUGGCUUCGGAUGAGGACCUCGUGCCCGGUGUGCAAAUCUGCUGUAUUUUGA
This 1257-nucleotide ribosomal RNA is filed under the name Triticum aestivum (bread wheat). Its description in RNAcentral is "partial small subunit ribosomal RNA". The record is from RNAcentral. Lineage: Eukaryota; Viridiplantae; Streptophyta; Magnoliopsida; Poales; Poaceae.